RNAcentral lists this ribosomal RNA (325 nucleotides) under uncultured eukaryote. RNAcentral describes it as "partial 18S ribosomal RNA". It matches the Rfam family "Eukaryotic small subunit ribosomal RNA", at positions 1470 to 1796 of the family's 1831-position model. The record is from RNAcentral.
CCCUUAGAUGUCCUGGGCCGCACGCGCGCUACACUGAUGCAUUCAACGAGUUUUACCUUGGCCGAGAGGCCUGGGCAAUCUUUUAAACCUGUAUCGUGAUAGGGAUAGAUUAUUGCAAUUAUUAAUCUUGAACGAGGAAUUCCUAGUAAACGCAAAUCAUCAAUUUGCAUUGAUUACGUCCCUGCCCUUUGUACACACCGCCCGUCGCACCUACCGAUUGAAUGGUCCGGUGAAGCCUCGGGAUUGUGGCCAGUUCACUUUAUUGGGAGUUGGCUGUGAGAACUUGUCUAAACCUUAUCAUUUAGAGGAAGGUGAAGUCGUAACA